This 276-nucleotide long non-coding RNA is filed under the name Mytilus galloprovincialis (Mediterranean mussel). The record is from RNAcentral. Lineage: Eukaryota; Metazoa; Mollusca; Bivalvia; Mytilida; Mytilidae.
GUUGUUUUUAGCUUUCCUUUGGCGAAUUUCGAGUUUUUUUGAUAAUUUCUCUGUUGUUGACGUUUUGUGGCAUCAAUAGCGGUAAUGAAGUAGGUAGUGAUGUUUUUAAUCUCCUAUUUAGGAACAAUUGUGCUGGCGAAAGAUCAAUGUCCAACGGUGUGUUUCGAUAGUCUAAUAGAGCUUUGUGUGGAUCCUUCGAUUUCAUAAUUAGCUUCUUGAUGGUUUGAACGCUUCUUUCUGCUUGUCCGUUCGACUGAGCAUAGUGUGGGCUGCUCG